GGUUGCGUAGCGCAGUGGUAGCGCGUGUACGUUCCAUGCUCUAGAGAUCUCGAAUUCUCGAUUUCGGGAUCUCUGGAGCGUUUGCACUAGGUCGUGGGUUCGAUUCCUACCGCGACUG
Molecule: non-coding RNA, 118 nt
Organism: Chaetomium sp. MPI-SDFR-AT-0129
Lineage: Eukaryota; Fungi; Ascomycota; Sordariomycetes; Sordariales; Chaetomiaceae
Source: the annotation of a GenBank genome assembly